UCUUUUGCUUUGAUCAGCCAUAGUUGCCAGAUGGUGAUUUAAUGAAAAGAAUUCGUUGCCAUGGAGAAGGCUAAGUCUAGGAGGGCUAGAGUUUGAGGUAUUGUUUGGCGAAGGCAGUGGUGGAGUCCUUGGAACGACUGGCCUAAGCUUUCUGCCAUUGAAGGAAUCAGGCAUGUUGAACUCACCACCAUCGCUACAACCCAUCAUCCACAUUUUGACACGGCAAAUACUUAAGCAAGAAAGAGGGUUAAUUUCUUUUGUUUCUCUCUCAAUGAAAAUGGGUAUGGUGAAGAAGAAGAAGAAGAGUAAUCAUAUUGGGUCCAUAAGAUCAAUUUUCA
RNAcentral lists this unclassified non-coding RNA (338 nucleotides) under Hevea brasiliensis (rubber tree). The record is from RNAcentral. Lineage: Eukaryota; Viridiplantae; Streptophyta; Magnoliopsida; Malpighiales; Euphorbiaceae.